This 497-nucleotide ribosomal RNA is filed under the name uncultured bacterium. Its description in RNAcentral is "partial 16S ribosomal RNA". It matches the Rfam family "Bacterial small subunit ribosomal RNA", at positions 28 to 507 of the family's 1533-position model. The record is from RNAcentral.
GAUGAACGCUGGCGGCGUGCCUAAUACAUGCAAGUCGAGCGAACAGACGAGGAGCUUGCUCCUCUGACGUUAGCGGCGGACGGGUGAGUAACACGUGGAUAACCUACCUAUCAGACUGGGAUAACUUCGGGAAACCGGAGCUAAUACCGGAUAAUAUAUUGAACCGCAUGGUUCAAUAGUGAAAGACGGUUUUGCUGUCACUUAUAGCUGGAUCCGCGCCGCAUUAGCUAGUUGGUAAGGUAACGGCUUACCAAGGCAACGAUGCGUAGCCGACCUGAGAGGGUGAUCGGCCACACUGGAACUGAGACACGGUCCAGACUCCUACGAGAGGCAGCAGUAGGGAAUCUUCCGCAAUGGGCGAAAGCUUGACGGAGCAACGCCGCGUGAGUGAUGAAGGUCUUCGGAUCGUAAAACUCUGUUAUUAGGGAAGAACAAAUGUGUAAGUAACUAUGCACGUCUUGACGGUACCGAAUCAGAAAGCCACGGCUAACUACGUG